UACAGAGGGUGCUAGCGUUGUUCGGAAUCAUUGGGCGUAAAGGGCGUGUAGGCGGUUUGUUAAGUCAUGUGUGAAAUCCCUCGGCUCAACCGAGGAAAGACGCAUGAAACUGGCAAGCUAGAGUACCGAAGAGGGGGGUGGAAUUCCCGGUGUAGCGGUGAAAUGCGUAGAUAUCAGGAGGAACACCUGUGGCGAAAGCGGCUCACUGGACCACAACUGACGCUGAGGCGCGAAAGCUAGGGGAGCAAACAGG
RNAcentral lists this ribosomal RNA (253 nucleotides) under uncultured bacterium. Its description in RNAcentral is "partial 16S ribosomal RNA". It matches the Rfam family "Bacterial small subunit ribosomal RNA", at positions 524 to 776 of the family's 1533-position model. The record is from RNAcentral.